UGCUUGCUCGGCGGCGGCAAUUGGUUGGAGCUGAUGGCGAAUUGAUUACUUGCAUUGUAGCUGUGACGUGCGUACGCUGCAGCUGCAGCAUUGCGAGUUCUUGCCAUCAACGAAGCUUGCUUGUUCUUGUUUCAGAACAUUCAGUCUAAUUUCACUUCUUUGCAUGUGUAACAUUCAGUCCAGCUUGCUUGCUUGUUUUGUUAGAUGCUCUGGAAUGCUUUUGUUUACUUUUGAUCUAUAUAAUAGUGCUCUUGCAGUUACUGUUACAUUGAAAUGGGUUCACAAGUCUAUCCUGCAAUAUACGGAUAUCUGCAGAAUGCUCUGCACAUGGCAUGUUUGUCAGGACAUGCAUUUAGUUACAGUUUCAAUUAACUUGCAUUUGUCCAGCAGUUGUAUUUUGCAUUUGGCUGGUAACAUCUAAUUAUUUCUUGUCUCCAAAAAUGGCACGAGCUGACCGAAGGUCGAAGGCAUUGUUCAUUGCAUAUCUGUUAUAUGAUGAAUUGCCUAUGUCAGUGUUCUUGUUUCUAGUGAACUUUUUUUUAGCACUAUACUCUAAUUGUAAAAAAUCAUGGUAGAUGCUGAAAAUAACACUGCAUCUCAUGCGUAGACAACUGAAGAAGCCUAUAUUAGGAAUGGAGUAGGCCCUUGGAUUAGAUAGUCACACUUUUGCAAAUCCCCCCUCCCACGCCCCCUGCGGCCUUCCUUUUGAUGUUGAUCUGAUGGUCCAGAUUAAAGUUUGUAUAGUUUUCACGAAUAGAUUGGUUCGCACCUGAUAUGUUCCCUUGUAAAAUAGCAUGAGACUAGCGUGCUAGCAUUGUAUGGGUUUGAUGUACCUUGAAAGAUUCUUUGGUAUAUGCUGCAGCUUGAGCUAGAUAGAUAGUGGAGCUUAAAAAUUUAUUGUGGUUCUCUAAUCUAAAAAUGCUCCUUUGUGUCAACUCACUCUUUUUUACCUAUAGAUCCCUCCCACACCGGUAGUGGCUGUCAAUGCUGUUAAUUGGUCGAGAGGUUCCAAGUUUCUUUCCCCAUCUCCUCUGCUACAGUAGGGAGCGGCGGAAACAGGUGACCUCAGCCCAGAGUUCGAUGUGAUCGCUUCCCCCUCCUCUCCGGCGGCCUCGUCGGCGCCGGAGAGGGCGGGGAAGCCGGAUCUUCCGCGUGCUGUACAUAUUUAGGCCUAGUUUAGCUAGUCUAGGUGCUAAAUAAGUUUCCCUAUGGAGGAGUUCAACCAUGGGGUUAGUUUCUUCCCUACCGACGGCGGUGCCUGCUGUUUAGUCGGGAAGGUGAAGUUUUUGGUCCUCCGAUGUGACGCCGGCGGAUGUUUGUUCAUCGAUUCCGGUGUUCAACUUAUGAGGUUUGGUUUCCUGCCUUAUUGCGAUGGGGUGGGUCUCCUUUUCCUUCUGCUGGCUGUUGUUGCUAGCAGCUUAAUGGAGUGGAUUCUUGGGUUGCUGGAUCUGGUUCUGCUGCUGUUGGAGAUGUGUGCUGAAGCAUCUUGCCUUCGAUGGAUCUCAUCCAUCGCUGAGGAAAGGGGAGAUGAUGCUGGAUCGAGUAGACCGGCGACUGAUGCUCAUGUCCCGAGAAUCUCUUGCAGUUAUCCAACGUUUGGAGUCCGUCUUUCGAUUUGGAUCGGGAAGAUUGGUGGUUUGAUGCUUGAGCAUGCUUUCUGGCGAACAGUGGGAAGGAGUCGGCAGCUCAAUCUCAGGAAGAAGAAAAAUAGUCCAGAACACUCAUAUUUUCAUGGAGUUGAAGGGCUUUGCCGGUUUACCUACUGCAAGUAACUUCUACAAGUUUGGAUUAACAAGACUCUCUCCUAUACGCUACUAUAUGUUACCAGAUGUGUAUGUCAUGUGAUCUAUGAAAUGUUGACGUGAGUUGAGUAUUGUACUAUUUAUUCCCUGUAUAUGCAACAUCGCUGUUUCUGCAGUUUGGAUUAAUGAAUGGUCAUGCUUUGGGUCCAUGGGGAAGUCGUAUUUUCCUCAUGAAUACUUGCUAGUUAGUGAUAAGAAGAAAACCAGAUAGGAAUUGAUCUCAAAAGCUACGAAUGUAUGUUAAAUUAUUUAAAUGGUGCAUUGUGGAACAAUUUGUAUGUACCGGAUGUGGAAAGUUUGUUUGACAAGUUGCUGCUGGUAAA
This is an RNA transcript of Panicum virgatum (switchgrass), 2125 nucleotides long. RefSeq lists it as uncharacterized. The transcript has 2 exons. The record is from RefSeq and is a predicted model, not a curated record. NCBI's taxonomy places the organism in Eukaryota, Viridiplantae, Streptophyta, Magnoliopsida, Poales, Poaceae.